This 496-nucleotide ribosomal RNA is filed under the name uncultured bacterium. RNAcentral describes it as "partial 16S ribosomal RNA". It matches the Rfam family "Bacterial small subunit ribosomal RNA", at positions 28 to 507 of the family's 1533-position model. The record is from RNAcentral.
GAUGAACGCUGGCGGCGUGCCUAAUACAUGCAAGUCGAGCGAACGGACGAGAAGCUUGCUUCUCUGAUGUUAGCGGCGGACGGGUGAGUAACACGUGGAUAACCUACCUAUAAGACUGGGAUAACUUCGGGAAACCGUAGCUAAUACCGGAUAAUAUUUUGAACCGCAUGGUUCAAAAGUGAAAGACGGUCUUGCUGUCACUUAUAGAUGGAUCCGCGCUGCAUUAGCUAGUUGGUAAGGUAACGGCUUACCAAGGCAACGAUGCAUAGCCGACCUGAGAGGGGGAUCGGCCACACUGGAACUGACACAGGGCCCAGACCCCUAGGGGGGGCAGAGGGGGGGAAUCUCCCGCAAUGGGGAAAACCCUAACGGGGCAACGCGGGGGGGGUGAUGAAGGUUUUCGGAUCGAAAAACCUUUUUUUUAGGAAAAAAAAAUUUUGUAAGAAACUUGGCACAUCUGGAGGGAACCAAACAAAAAAGCCCCGGCAAACUAGUG